GUAGGGUGCAAGCGUUAAUCGGGAAUUACUGGGCGUAAAGCGUGCGCAGGCGGUUUUGUAAGACAGUGGUGAAAUCCCCCGGGGCUCAACCUGGGGAACUGCCAUUGUGACUGCAAGGCUGGAGUGCGGCAGAGGGGGAUGGAAUUCCGCGUGUAGCAGUGAAAUGCGUAGAUAUGCGGAGGAACACCGAUGGCGAAGGCAAUCCCCUGGGCCUGCACUGACGCUCAUGCACGAAAGCGUGGGGAGCAAACAGGAUUAGAUACCCUGGUAGUCCACGCCCUAAACGAUGUCAACUGGUUGUUGGGAAUUAACUUUCUCAGUAACGAAGCUAACGCGUGAAGUUGACCGCCUGGGGAGUACGGCCGCAAGGUUA
RNAcentral lists this ribosomal RNA (373 nucleotides) under uncultured organism. Its description in RNAcentral is "partial 16S ribosomal RNA". It matches the Rfam family "Bacterial small subunit ribosomal RNA", at positions 527 to 896 of the family's 1533-position model. The record is from RNAcentral.